This 1865-nucleotide long non-coding RNA is filed under the name Macaca mulatta (Rhesus monkey). RNAcentral describes it as "lncRNA (ENSMMUG00000061454.1)". The record is from RNAcentral. Lineage: Eukaryota; Metazoa; Chordata; Mammalia; Primates; Cercopithecidae.
GAGAAGUUAGCCAUUUACAAGUCAAGGAGAGAGACCUCAGAAGAAACCAUCUCUGCUCACACCUUGAUAUUAGAUUGCCAGCCCCCAGGAUUAAAACCUGUUGGAGAAGCUAUACGGCCAUGUGUGAAAUGUCUUAUGGAAAAGGACAGUGUUGGAAUGGCCACCAUGUAUGACCUGAAGAUAGAGAACCAUAAAGUGCUGAAAUUCUAUGUUAAAAGUGAUGAAUAGAAGUUAACGAAAAUUAGAAAAAUAUACUUCAAUCAUGUAUUGAAAAAGUGGAUCUAUCAUCAUUGUGAACAUAUGCUACUUAAUAAUAUGCUGAUUAUGACACAAAGACUUAUAAUGAACUAAAAAUUGAAGGAAACUGAUUAUUUAAUAACUGCAGAAAUUUAAGAAAAGAAACAAAAUUAAAUUUUUAAAGAUUUGCAUAAUAAAGCAUGUGCUGAUGAAGCAGUAAAGAAAUAUAUUGACAAAUUUGUCAAGGCCUAUGUUAAGAAAAAUCUGAUGCCAGAGCAUGUCUGUAAGGCUAAAGAAAAGUCAAUGUUUUGGUAUUAUUGUCCCAGAAAGACACUGACUACAGUUGAUAAGCCAUCCCCUACAGGAAUCAAGGAUAUCAAAGACAGAACAAUUGUGUUGGAAUGCUCUAAUGCAGUAAGCAUGCGUUAAACAUAAACUCGCUUGGAUAAACAAACCUUUCAUUCUUGUUGUUUUCAAGAUAUGAAUUUCUUACCAGUUCAUUAUUAUUCUAAUAAAAAGGCUUGGAUCACCAAGAAUAUGUUUUCUGAGUGGUUUCACAAAUAUGUUGAACCAAUGACUGGUGCUCACUGCAGGAAAGCUAAACUGAAUGACAACUGAAAGAUUUUGUUAUUCCUUGACAACUCUGCUGCUCAUCCUCCAGCUGAAAUCCUCAUCAAAAUUAAUGUUACUGUCAGGUACCUUCCCCAAAAUGUGACUUCAUUAAUUCAGUCAUGUGACCAGGUUACCCAUAGAUCAAUGAAGAGUAAAUAUAAAAAUGCUUUCCUGAACAGCAUGCUGGCAGCAGUGAAGAGUAGUGGGUGUGAAAGGUUUUCCAAAGCAGUAUAAGAUGAAGGAUACCAUAUAUACUGUUACCAACACUUGGAUCACAGUGAUUAAGGACACAGUAUGUAUGCACGAUACAAUGUUUAUCUUGCAACUAUGUUCAGUGAUAAUGAGGAACAAGAUGGUCACUCUGAAAGACUCUUUGUGUCAAGUGAUUAAAAUAAUGUCUGACCUCCUUACCUUUGCAAAAAAUAUACAUUUAGAGUUUGUCAGUAUGCUCCAAAAAGAGGAUAUUGAAAAAGUUUUUAACAUCAGUGAGGCUUCAGUUAUUCAUUCAUUGACCAAUGGUGAAAUAGUUAAAAGGGUUCUCAAUCAAGAUGAUACUAAUGGUGAUGAUGAUGACAUUAACGCUGCACAAAAUGAGCCUAUAGACAACAUGGAAAAAUAUUCAAUGUGCUUAUUAAAGGAGUAGAGCAACAUGAAUUCAUAACAGAAAUCAUGUAAGAAAUAAUUUAUAAAACCAAAGGGAGACUUCUAAGACAAAAAUCAUAAUUAAUGAAGGAGAUGAUCCUGGAGAAAAAACUUUGAAAAGCAAUCCAGCAUAUACCUCCUCAUCCUUAUGAGACUCACCUUCUGGUCUCUCAAAUACUUAUGGUGUGUCUUCUCAUCUAGAAAAAUACAGUGCACAGUACUCUUAAUCAAAACACAGCAUUAUAGGUGAAGACUGAAAGCCUGCCCUACAGUUGUUUGUUGUUGCUGUGGUUUAACAUCUGCUAUUUGUUCUACAGGUAUUCUGGUAAUGCUAUUGUGCUGCUUAAUUAUCCUGAAUACAUUAGUUUUUCACU